AUUUUUAGUUCCAAAAUACUCUCAUUUACUGUCUCUUCCUUCUCAUCUGUCUGACCAUCUCUCCCCUCGGUCUUCUACUCUGCCCAAAACUAGGAUGCCAUCACAUUCACAAACCCAUUUCCCCCCAUCUCUCUCACAGGCCUAUUCCCUUUACUUCUCCAAACUCAAACGACCUAAAUUCAUUGUGCCUUCAUGUAAAGCCUCAAAAACAAUAGCAUAAUCAGAGCAAUUGCAUUCCAAAAGCAUAACCCAAUAGUUCAUAACCUGAAUUCAAUCGUGAAACAAAAUCAAUCCUUCUCUUAACCCCUGAUAAAUUUUUACGCUUCUUCUUUCCAUUUCAUUUCUUUGUCUCUCUCACUUCUGUACUACUAAACUAGACCACCAAAAUCAUAACUGCGUAAGUGACACUAAGGGCACAGAAGGGAGCCAUUUGAACUUUCAAACAAACAAGAAUAACUGCAUUUGCACAUUGAGCAGUACGAACUAAAACCUGCCGAAUUAUAGGGUAUAGAUCCAAUCCCCAUUUAUCACCGCAGAAAAAUCCCAAAGUGCCAAAUCAGCUUGGGAAACGAAGGAGCCAUUGGAAGCCAGUGGUGGUCUGGCUGUGGCAUUAGAACCAUGGCAUGCACCCACUACCCAGACUUCUUCCUUGUCCUUCCCUCCAUGAGUAACUACCGCCUUAGGUGCUCUGCUUCAGACACUAGAGCUACGAUAAUAAAUCAAUUCCAUAAAUGCAAGUGAUGAGGCUGGUUCUUAAGGAGUAGCUUGCAGGUUAAAGGUGGUUGGCAAACAAAGCAAGUGGUGGAGGCAAACAAGAGCAGACAAGGAAAAGCUGGAGACGGGAUGAGGAUGUGGAGGUAGCGAGGAACUGUAGAUGGAGGGGGACCAAUUUGUUUGUUGUUGAUCCUUGGGUUGUAUUGAGAUUUUUAAUUGGAUUCUUCUUUAUACUUAUUUAUGUGCAAUGCCUAUCUCUUGUUUGAUGAUAAAAAAAA
This 992-nucleotide unclassified non-coding RNA is filed under the name Hevea brasiliensis (rubber tree). Lineage: Eukaryota; Viridiplantae; Streptophyta; Magnoliopsida; Malpighiales; Euphorbiaceae. The record is from RNAcentral.